This 231-nucleotide ribosomal RNA is filed under the name uncultured bacterium. RNAcentral describes it as "partial 16S ribosomal RNA". It matches the Rfam family "Bacterial small subunit ribosomal RNA", at positions 103 to 334 of the family's 1533-position model. The record is from RNAcentral.
CGGGUGAGUAACGCGUGGGUAACCUGCCUUGUACAGGGGGAUAACAGUUGGAAACGGCUGCUAAUACCGCAUAAGCGCACGGCAUCGCAUGAUGCAGUGUGAAAAACUCCGGUGGUAUAAGAUGGACCCGCGUUGGAUUAGCUAGUUGGUGAGGUAACGGCCCACCAAGGCGACGAUCCAUAGCCGGCCUGAGAGGGUGAACGGCCACAUUGGGACUGAGACACGGCCCAG